This 76-nucleotide transfer RNA is filed under the name Rhodocyclaceae bacterium. RNAcentral describes it as "tRNA-Thr". It matches the Rfam family "tRNA". Rfam says of the family: Transfer RNA (tRNA) molecules are approximately 80 nucleotides in length. Their secondary structure includes four short double-helical elements and three loops (D, anti-codon, and T loops). Lineage: Bacteria; Pseudomonadati; Pseudomonadota; Betaproteobacteria; Rhodocyclales; Rhodocyclaceae. The record is from RNAcentral. RNAcentral also lists the same sequence under 1 other name.
GCCGGCAUAGCUCAGUCGGUAGAGCAACCGCCUUGUAAGCGGUAGGUCACCAGUUCGAAUCCGGUUGCCGGCACCA